Long non-coding RNA from Xenia sp. Carnegie-2017, 465 nucleotides. RefSeq lists it as uncharacterized. The record is from RefSeq and is a predicted model, not a curated record. Lineage: Eukaryota; Metazoa; Cnidaria; Anthozoa; Malacalcyonacea; Xeniidae. The transcript has 2 exons.
AUAUCUUCGUGAAAGAAGACUUGACCGAAACGGAGAGACCAUUCCAAUAGAAGGAGAAGAAAAGUUGUGCUUUAGGGAUUUCGUCUCCUUCAGUUAUCAAAUUGCUCGUGGAAUGGAAUAUUUGUCAGGAAGAAAGUGUAUUCAUCGCGAUCUUGCUGCCAGGAAUAUUUUAGUUGGUGAAGAUAGAGUAAUGAAAAUUGCAGACUUUGGUUUAGCUCGCGACAUUCAUCAGAUUGACUAUUACGGCAAAACAACUGACGUAUGUAUUCUGUGAAAUUGUGCCAUUAAUCCUGAUAAAUAAUUUUUAAGAAUAUGAAAACAUUUUUUGUCUUUAUGGAUUUUAUUGUUUUCGUAAAGAAACUUCCUUGUAUAUGUAUAUUAUAGUAAAUUUUCUAUUUUUGUGCCUGAACUUCGAGUGGAAAUAUUUUUGUUUGAUAUCAUUGUAUUAUAAGACAUUUAUAAUUA